AACGAACGCUGGCGGCAGGCCUAACACAUGCAAGUCGAGCGAGGACUUCGGUCCUAGCGGCGGACGGGUGAGUAACGCGUGGGAACGUGCCCUUUGCUUCGGAAUAGCCCUGGGAAACUGGGAGUAAUACCGGAUGAGCCCUUUGGGGGAAAGAUUUAUCGGCGAAGGAUCGGCCCGCGUUGGAUUAGGUAGUUGGUGGGGUAAUGGCCUACCAAGCCGACGAUCCAUAGCUGGUUUGAGAGGAUGAUCAGCCACACUGGGACUGAGACACGGCCCAGACUCCUACGGGAGGCGGCAGUGGGGAAUCUUAGACAAUGGGGGAAACCCUGAUCUAGCCAUGCCGCGUGAGCGAUGAAGGCCUUAGGGUUGUAAAGCUCUUUCAGCUGGGAAGAUAAUGACGGUACCAGCAGAAGAAGCCCCGGCUAACUCCGUG
Molecule: ribosomal RNA, 433 nt
Filed under: uncultured bacterium
Lineage: Bacteria
Description: partial 16S ribosomal RNA
Rfam family: Bacterial small subunit ribosomal RNA
Source: RNAcentral